AAAAAAGGUAAGCUACUAAGAGCGAAUGGUGGAUGCCUUGACUGGUAAAGGCGAUGAAGGACGUACUAGACUGCGAUAAGCUACGGGGAGCUGUCAAGAAGCUUUGAUCCGUAGAUUUCCGAAUGGGGCAACCCAAUGUAUAGAGAUAUACAUUACCUAUAUAGGAGCGAACGAGGGGAAUUGAAACAUCUUAGUACCCUCAGGAAAAGAAAUCAAUAGAGAUUGCGUCAGUAGCGGCGAGCGAAAGCGCAAGAGGGCAAACCCAGUGCUUGCACUGGGGGUUGUAGGACUGCAAUGUGCAAGAGGUAAGUUUAGCAGAACAUUCUGGAAAGUAUAACCAUAGAGGGUGAUAGUCCCGUAUGCGAAAAACAAACCUUAGCUAGCAGUAUCCUGAGUAGGGCGGGACACGAGGAAUCCUGUCUGAAUCCGGGUCGACCACGAUCCAACCCUAAAUACUAAUACCAGAUCGAUAGUGCACAAGUACCGUGAGGGAAAGGUGAAAAGAACUGAGGUGAUCAGAGUGAAAUAGAACCUGAAACCAUUUGCUUACAAUCAUUCAGAGCCCUAUGUAGCAAUACAGGGUGAUGGACUGCCUUUUGCAUAAUGAGCCUGCGAGUUGUGGUGUCUGGCAAGGUUAAGCAAACGCGAAGCCGUAGCGAAAGCGAGUCUGAAUAGGGCGCUUAGUCAGAUGCUGCAGACCCGAAACGAAGUGAUCUAUCCAUGAGCAAGUUGAAGCUAGUGUAAGAACUAGUGGAGGACUGAACCCAUAGGCGUUGAAAAGCCCCGGGAUGACUUGUGGAUAGGGGUGAAAGGCCAAUCAAACUUCGUGAUAGCUGGUUCUCUCCGAAAUAUAUUUAGGUAUAGCGUUGUGUCGUAAUAUAAGGGGGUAGAGCACUGAAUGGGCUAGGGCAUACACCAAUGUACCAAACCCUAUCAAACUCCGAAUACCUUAUAUGUAAUCACAGCAGUCAGGCGGCGAGUGAUAAAAUCCGUCGUCAAGAGGGAAACAACCCAGACUACCAGCUAAGGUCCCUAAAUCUUACUUAAGUGGAAAACGAUGUGAAGUUACUUAAACAACCAGGAGGUUGGCUUAGAAGCAGCCAUCCUUUAAAGAAAGCGUAAUAGCUCACUGGUCUAGUGAUUUUGCGCGGAAAAUAUAACGGGGCUAAAGUAAGUACCGAAGCUGUAGACUUGCACACAACUUAGAUUAUUUAAGUUUAGAAUAUGAGAAACUAAGUUAUAUGUUUAGUUAUAUUUUUACUGAUUUUUAUAGAGUAAAGAUAGAAAUAAAACUUAGUAAAAUCAGUAAAAAUAUUCUUAGACUAAAGUUAAGUAGUUUAAGUUGUGUGCAAGUGGUAGGAGAGCGUUCUAUUUGCGUCGAAGGUAUACCGGUAAGGAGUGCUGGAGCGAAUAGAAGUGAGCAUGCAGGCA
This 1431-nucleotide ribosomal RNA is filed under the name Campylobacter jejuni. Its description in RNAcentral is "partial 23S ribosomal RNA". It matches the Rfam family "Bacterial large subunit ribosomal RNA", at positions 1 to 1302 of the family's 2925-position model. Lineage: Bacteria; Pseudomonadati; Campylobacterota; Epsilonproteobacteria; Campylobacterales; Campylobacteraceae. The record is from RNAcentral.